UUUGGGCAAAAACAUAAGAGGU
RNAcentral lists this non-coding RNA (22 nucleotides) under Arabidopsis thaliana (thale cress). The record is from RNAcentral. Lineage: Eukaryota; Viridiplantae; Streptophyta; Magnoliopsida; Brassicales; Brassicaceae.